Molecule: ribosomal RNA, 460 nt
Filed under: uncultured bacterium
Lineage: Bacteria
Description: partial 16S ribosomal RNA
Rfam family: Bacterial small subunit ribosomal RNA
Source: RNAcentral
CCUACGGGAGGCUGCAGUGAGGAAUAUUGGUCAAUGGGCGCUAGCCUGAACCAGCCAAGUAGCGUGAAUGAUGACUGCCCUAUGGGUUGUAAACUUCUUUUAUAUGGGAAUAAAGUGCAGUAUGUAUACUGCUUUGCAUGUACCUUAUGAAUAAGGAUCGGCUAACUCCGUGCCAGCAGCCGCGGUAAUACGGAGGAUCCGAGCGUUAUCCGGAUUUAUUGGGUUUAAAGGGAGCGUAGGCGGGUGGUUAAGUCAGUUGUGAAAGUUUGAGGCUCAACCGUAAAAUUGCAGUUGAUACUGGCAGCCUUGAGUACAGUAGAGGUAGGCGGAAUUCGUGGUGUAGCGGUGAAAUGCUUAGAUAUCACGAAGAACUCCGAUUGCGAAGGCAGCCUGCUGGACUGUAACUGACGCUGAUGCUCGAAAGUGUGGGUAUCAAACAGGAUUAGAUACCCCUGUAGUC